AGGGCGCACGGUGGAUGCCUUGGCACUAGGAGCCGACGAAGGACGUGACAAACGACGAUAUGCCUUGGGUAGCUGUAAGUAAGCGAUGAUCCAGGGAUUUCCGAAUGGGGGAACCCAACAGGUAAUACCUGUUACCUACAUCUGUUAAGGAUGUGAGGAGGAAGACGCAGUGAACUGAAACAUCUAAGUAGCUGCAGGAAGAGAAAGCAAAAGCGAUUGCCUUAGUAGCGGCGAGCGAAACGGCAGAAGGGCAAACCGAAGAGUUUACUCUUCGGGGUUGUAGGACUGCAAUGUGGACUCAAAGAUUAUAGAAGAAUGAUUUGGGAAGAUCAGCCAAAGAGAGUAAUAGCCUCGUAUUUAAAAUAGUCUUUGUACUUAGCAGUAUCCUGAGUACGGCGGGACACGUGAAAUCCCGUCGGAAUCUGGGAGGACCAUCUCCCAACCCUAAAUACUCCCUAGUGACCGAUAGUGAACCAGUACCGUGAGGGAAAGGUGAAAAGCACCCCGGGAGGGGAGUGAAAUAGAACCUGAAACCGUGUGCCUACAACAAGUUCGAGCCCGUUAAUGGGUGAGAGCGUGCCUUUUGUAGAAUGAACCGGCGAGUUACGUUAUGAUGCGAGGUUAAGUUGAAGAGACGGAGCCGUAGGGAAACCGAGUCUGAAUAGGGCGCCUUAGUAUCAUGACGUAGACCCGAAACCAUGUGACCUACCCAUGAGCAGGUUGAAGGUGCGGUAAGACGCACUGGAGGACCGAACCAGGGCACGUUGAAAAGUGCUUGGAUGACUUGUGGGUAGCGGAGAAAUUCCAAACGAACUUGGAGAUAGCUGGUUCUCUCCGAAAUAGCUUUAGGGCUAGCGUCGACAUUAGAGAUUCUUGGAGGUAGAGCACUGUUUGGGUGAGGGGUCCAUCCCGGAUUACCAAUCUCAGAUAAACUCCGAAUGCCAAUGAAUUAUGGUCGGCAGUCAGACUGCGAGUGCUAAGAUCCGUAGUCGAAAGGGAAACAGCCCAGACCACCAGCUAAGGUCCCAAAAUAAUUGUUAAGUGGAAAAGGAUGUGGGGUUGCACAGACAACUAGGAUGUUAGCUUAGAAGCAGCUAUUCAUUCAAAGAGUGCGUAAUAGCUCACUAGUCGAGUGACCCUGCGCCGAAAAUGUACCGGGGCUAAAACAAUUUACCGAAGCUGUGGAUACCUUUAUAGGUAUGGUAGGAGAGCGUUCUAUGUGUGAUGAAGGUAUACCGUGAGGAGUGCUGGAACGCAUAGAAGUGAGAAUGCCGGUAUGAGUAGCGAAAGACAGGUGAGAAUCCUGUCCACCGUAAGACUAAGGUUUCCAGGGGAAGGCUCGUCCGCCCUGGGUUAGUCGGGACCUAAGGAGAGACCGAAAGGUGUAUCCGAUGGACAACAGGUUGAUAUUCCUGUACUAGAGUAUGUAGUGAUGGAGGGACGCAGUAGGCUAACUAAAGCAGACGAUUGGAAGAGUCUGUCUAAGCAGUGAGGUGUGAAUUGAGUCAAAUGCUUAAUUCUAUAACAUUGAGCUGUGAUGGGGAGCGAAGUUUAGUAGCGAAGUUAGUGACGUCACACUGCCAAGAAAAGCUUCUAGCGUUUAAACAUACUCUACCCGUACCGCAAACCGACACAGGUAGUCGAGGCGAGUAGCCUCAGGUGAGCGAGAGAACUCUCGUUAAGGAACUCGGCAAAAUGACCCCGUAACUUCGGGAGAAGGGGUGCUGACUUAAAGUCAGCCGCAGUGAAUAGGCCCAAGCAACUGUUUAUCAAAAACACAGCUCUCUGCUAAAUCGUAAGAUGAUGUAUAGGGGGUGACGCCUGCCCGGUGCUGGAAGGUUAAGAGGAGUGCUUAGCGUAAGCGAAGGUAUGAAUUGAAGCCCCAGUAAACGGCGGCCGUAACUAUAACGGUCCUAAGGUAGCGAAAUUCCUUGUCGGGUAAGUUCCGACCCGCACGAAAGGCGUAAUGAUUUGGGCACUGUCUCAACGAGAGACUCGGUGAAAUUUUAGUACCUGUGAAGAUGCAGGUUACCCGCGACAGGACGGAAAGACCCCAUGGAGCUUUACUGCAGUUUGAUAUUGAGUGUCUGUACCACAUGUACAGGAUAGGUAGGAGUCUAAGAGAUCGGGACGCCAGUUUCGAAGGAGACGCUGUUGGGAUACUACCCUUGUGUUAUGGCCACUCUAACCCAGAUAGGUGAUCCCUAUCGGAGACAGUGUCUGACGGGCAGUUUGACUGGGGCGGUCGCCUCCUAAAAGGUAACGGAGGCGCCCAAAGGUUCCCUCAGAAUGGUUGGAAAUCAUUCGCAGAGUGUAAAGGUAUAAGGGAGCUUGACUGCGAGAGCUACAACUCGAGCAGGGACGAAAGUCGGGCUUAGUGAUCCGGUGGUUCCGUAUGGAAGGGCCAUCGCUCAACGGAUAAAAGCUACCCUGGGGAUAACAGGCUUAUCUCCCCCAAGAGUUCACAUCGACGGGGAGGUUUGGCACCUCGAUGUCGGCUCGUCGCAUCCUGGGGCUGUAGUCGGUCCCAAGGGUUGGGCUGUUCGCCCAUUAAAGCGGCACGCGAGCUGGGUUCAGAACGUCGUGAGACAGUUCGGUCCCUAUCCGUCGCGGGCGUAGGAAAUUUGAGAGGAUCUGCUCCUAGUACGAGAGGACCAGAGUGGACUUACCGCUGGUGUACCAGUUGUCUUGCCAAAGGCAUCGCUGGGUAGCUAUGUAGGGAAGGGAUAAACGCUGAAAGCAUCUAAGUGUGAAACCCACCUCAAGAUGAGAUUUCCCAUGAUUAU
This 2786-nucleotide ribosomal RNA is filed under the name Streptococcus pneumoniae. Its description in RNAcentral is "bacterial LSU rRNA". It matches the Rfam family "Bacterial large subunit ribosomal RNA". Lineage: Bacteria; Bacillati; Bacillota; Bacilli; Lactobacillales; Streptococcaceae. The record is from RNAcentral. RNAcentral also lists the same sequence under 2 other names.